RNAcentral lists this ribosomal RNA (253 nucleotides) under uncultured bacterium. RNAcentral's name for it is "partial 16S ribosomal RNA". It matches the Rfam family "Bacterial small subunit ribosomal RNA", at positions 524 to 776 of the family's 1533-position model. The record is from RNAcentral.
UACGUAGGUGGCAAGCGUUGUCCGGAUUUACUGGGCUUAAAGAGCGCGCAGGCGGUCGAAUAAGUCGAAUGUGAAAGCCCCCGGCUUAACUGGGGAGGGUCAUUCGAUACUGCUCGACUUGAAGGCAGGAGAGGGUAGUGGAAUUCCCAGUGUAGCGGUGAAAUGCGUAGAUAUUGGGAGGAACACCAGUGGCGAAGGCGGCUCACUGGACCGGAACUGACGCUGAGGCGCGAAAGCGUGGGGAGCAAACAGG